UACGGAGGGAGCUAGCGUUGUUCGGAAUUACUGGGCGUAAAGCGCGCGUAGGCGGUUUGGUAGGUCCGCUGUGAAAACUCGAGGCUCAACCUCGAGACGCCGGUGGAAACCAUCAGGCUAGAGUCCGGAAGAGGAGAGUGGAAUUCCUGGUGUAGCGGUGAAAUGCGCAGAUAUCAGGAAGAACACCCGUGGCUAAGGCGGCUCUCUAGUACGGUACUGACGCUGAGACGCGAAAGCGUGGGGAGCGAACAGG
RNAcentral lists this ribosomal RNA (253 nucleotides) under uncultured bacterium. RNAcentral describes it as "partial 16S ribosomal RNA". It matches the Rfam family "Bacterial small subunit ribosomal RNA", at positions 524 to 776 of the family's 1533-position model. The record is from RNAcentral.